Molecule: ribosomal RNA, 1271 nt
Filed under: human gut metagenome
Description: bacterial LSU rRNA
Rfam family: Bacterial large subunit ribosomal RNA
Source: RNAcentral
AGACAGGUGAGAAUCCUGUCCACCGUAAGACUAAGGUUUCCAGGGGAAGGCUCGUCCGCCCUGGGUUAGUCGGGACCUAAGGAGAGACCGAAAGGUGUAUCCGAUGGACAACAGGUUGAUAUUCCUGUACUAGAGUAUGUAGUGAUGGAGGGACGCAGUAGGCUAACUAAAGCGUGCGAUUGGAAGUGCACGUCUAAGCAGUGAGGUGUGAAUUGAGUUAAAUGCUUAGUUCUAUAACAUUGAGCUGUGAUGGGGAGCGAAGUUUAGUAGCGAAGUUAGUGAUGUCACACUGCCAAGAAAAGCUUCUAGCGUUUAAACAUACUCUACCCGUACCGCAAACCGACACAGGUAGUCAAGUGGAGAACACUAAGGUGAGCGAGAGAACUCUCGUUAAGGAACUCGGCAAAAUGACCCCGUAACUUCGGGAGAAGGGGUGCUGACAGAAAUGUCAGCCGCAGUGAAUAGGCCCAGGCGACUGUUUAUCAAAAACACAGGUCUCUGCAAAAUCGAAAGAUGACGUAUAGGGGCUGACGCCUGCCCGGUGCUGGAAGGUUAAGAGGAGUGCUUAGGAGCAAUCCGAAGGUACGAAUUGAAGCCCCAGUAAACGGCGGCCGUAACUAUAACGGUCCUAAGGUAGCGAAAUUCCUUGUCGGGUAAGUUCCGACCCGCACGAAAGGCGUAACGAUCUGGGCACUGUCUCAACGAGAGACUCGGUGAAAUUAUAGUACCUGUGAAGAUGCAGGUUACCCGCGACAGGACGGAAAGACCCCAUGGAGCUUUACUGUAGCUUGAUAUUGAGUGUUUGUAUGGCAUGUACAGGAUAGGUAGGAGCUGAAGAAGUGUGGACGCCAGUCUACAUGGAGGCGCUGGUGGGAUACUACCCUUGUGAUGCGGACCCUCUAACCCACGUGUAACAGCACGGGAGACAGUGUCAGGUGGGCAGUUUGACUGGGGCGGUCGCCUCCUAAAGAGUAACGGAGGCGCCCAAAGGUUCCCUCAGAAUGGUUGGAAAUCAUUCGUAGAGUGUAAAGGCAGAAGGGAGCUUGACUGCGAGACCUACAAGUCGAGCAGGGACGAAAGUCGGGCUUAGUGAUCCGGUGGUACCGUAUGGAAGGGCCAUCGCUCAACGGAUAAAAGCUACCCUGGGGAUAACAGGCUUAUCUCCCCCAAGAGUUCACAUCGACGGGGAGGUUUGGCACCUCGAUGUCGGCUCAUCGCAUCCUGGGGCUGAAGUCGGUCCCAAGGGUUGGGCUGUUCGCCCAUUAAAGCGG